This 785-nucleotide ribosomal RNA is filed under the name uncultured Alphaproteobacteria bacterium. RNAcentral describes it as "bacterial SSU rRNA". It matches the Rfam family "Bacterial small subunit ribosomal RNA", at positions 82 to 902 of the family's 1533-position model. Lineage: Bacteria; Pseudomonadati; Pseudomonadota; Alphaproteobacteria. The record is from RNAcentral.
UAGCAAUACGAGAGUGGCGGACGGGUGAGUAACGCGUGGGAACGUGCCCUAAGGUACGGAAUAACUGCGGGAAACUGCAGCUAAUACCGUAUGUGCCCGCAAGGGGAAAGAUUUAUCGCCUUAGGAGCGGCCCGCGUCGGAUUAGCUAGUUGGUGGGGUAACGGCCUACCAAGGCUUCGAUCCGUAGCUGGUCUGAGAGGACGAUCAGCCACACUGGGACUGAGACACGGCCCAGACUCCUACGGGAGGCAGCAGUGGGGAAUCUUGCGCAAUGGGGGAAACCCUGACGCAGCCAUGCCGCGUGAACGAUGAAGGCCUUAGGGUUGUAAAGUUCUUUUGCCCGUGACGAUGAUGACGGUAACGGGAGAAUAAGCUCCGGCUAACUUCGUGCCAGCAGCCGCGGUAAUACGAAGGGGGCUAGCGUUGUUCGGAAUUACUGGGCGUAAAGCGCGCGCAGGCGGUUUUGUAAGUUGGGGGUGAAAUCCCCGGGCUCAACCCGGGAAUUGCCUUCAAGACUGCAAAGCUAGAGGACGAGAGAGGUGAGUGGAAUUCCCAGUGUAGAGGUGAAAUUCGUAGAUAUUGGGAAGAACACCGGUGGCGAAGGCGGCUCACUGGCUCGUUUCUGACGCUGAGGCGCGAAAGCGUGGGGAGCAAACAGGAUUAGAUACCCUGGUAGUCCACGCCGUAAACGAUGAGUGCCAGGUGUCGGGGGGCUUUGCCCUUCGGCGCCGCAGCUAACGCCUUAAGCACUCCGCCUGGGGAGUACGGCCGCAAGGUUAAAACUC